GUGAAUAUAGUUUAACAAAAACCCUAGCUUGUGAUUUUAGAAAUGAGGAUUAAUCCUCCUCUAUUCACC
Molecule: transfer RNA, 69 nt
Filed under: Dryophytes japonicus (Japanese treefrog)
Lineage: Eukaryota; Metazoa; Chordata; Amphibia; Anura; Hylidae
Also listed under: 1 other name
Description: tRNA-His
Rfam family: tRNA
About the family: Transfer RNA (tRNA) molecules are approximately 80 nucleotides in length. Their secondary structure includes four short double-helical elements and three loops (D, anti-codon, and T loops).
Source: RNAcentral